This 301-nucleotide ribosomal RNA is filed under the name uncultured bacterium. RNAcentral's name for it is "partial 16S ribosomal RNA". It matches the Rfam family "Bacterial small subunit ribosomal RNA", at positions 509 to 808 of the family's 1533-position model. The record is from RNAcentral.
CAGCCGCCGCGUAAUACGGAGGGUGCAAGCGUUAUCCGGAUUUAUUGGGUUUAAAGGGUCCGUAGGCGGAUCUGUAAGUCAGUGGUGAAAUCUCACAGCUUAACUGUGAAACUGCCAUUGAUACUGCAGGUCUUGAGUAAAUUUGAAGUGGCUGGAAUAAGUAGUGUAGCGGUGAAAUGCAUAGAUAUUACUUAGAACACCAAUUGCGAAGGCAGGUCACUAAGAUUUAACUGACGCUGAUGGACGAAAGCGUGGGGAGCGAACAGGAUUAGAUACCCCUGUAGUCCCUGUCUCUUAUACA